Molecule: transfer RNA, 85 nt
Filed under: Felis catus (domestic cat)
Lineage: Eukaryota; Metazoa; Chordata; Mammalia; Carnivora; Felidae
Rfam family: tRNA
About the family: Transfer RNA (tRNA) molecules are approximately 80 nucleotides in length. Their secondary structure includes four short double-helical elements and three loops (D, anti-codon, and T loops). Further hydrogen bonds mediate the characteristic L-shaped molecular structure. tRNAs have two regions of fundamental functional importance: the anti-codon, which is responsible for specific mRNA codon recognition, and the 3' end, to which the tRNAs corresponding amino acid is attached (by aminoacyl-tRNA synthetases). tRNAs cope with the degeneracy of the genetic code in two manners: having more than one tRNA (with a specific anti-codon) for a particular amino acid; and 'wobble' base-pairing, i.e. permitting non-standard base-pairing at the 3rd anti-codon position.
Source: Rfam by way of RNAcentral
GCCUGGUUGGCUCAGUCAGUUGGGCAUCUGACUUAGGCUCAGGUCAUGAUCUCGUGGUCCGUGAGUUCGAGCCCCGCAUCAGGCU